RNAcentral lists this ribosomal RNA (330 nucleotides) under uncultured bacterium. Its description in RNAcentral is "bacterial SSU rRNA". It matches the Rfam family "Bacterial small subunit ribosomal RNA", at positions 568 to 898 of the family's 1533-position model. The record is from RNAcentral.
UGUGUAGGCGGUUUCGUAAGUCUGGUGUGAAAUCUCCCGGCUCAACUGGGAGGGUGCGCCGGAAACUGCGAGGCUAGAGUGUGGGAUGGGAGAGUGGAAUUCCUGGUGUAGCGGUGAAAUGCGUAGAUAUCAGGAGGAACACCUGCGGUGUAGACGGCUCUCUGGACCACUACUGACGCUGAAACACGAAAGCGUGGGUAGCAAACAGGAUUAGAUACCCUGGUAGUCCACGCCCUAAACGAUGCAUAUUUGGUGUGGGUCAUUCAUUUGAUCCGUGCCGGAGCUAACGCGUUAAAUAUGCCGCCUGGGGAGUACGGUCGCAAGGCUGAA